GCAGUCGACGCUGAAAGCCUGGUGCUUGCACCGGGUGGAUGAGUGGCGAACGGGUGAGUAACACGUGAGUAACCUGCCCCUGACUUCGGGAUAAGCCCGGGAAACUGGGUCUAAUACCGGAUACGACUGCCGGACGCAUGUCUGGUGGUGGAAAGUUUUUUCGGUUGGGGAUGGGCUCGCGGCCUAUCAGUUUGUUGGUGAGGUAAUGGCUCACCAAGACGACGACGGGUAGCCGGCCUGAGAGGGCGACCGGCCACACUGGGACUGAGACACGGCCCAGACUCCUACGGGAGGCAGCAGUGGGGAAUAUUGCACAAUGGGGGAAACCCUGAUGCAGCGACGCAGCGUGCGGGAUGACGGCCUUCGGGUUGUAAACCGCUUUCAGCAGGGAAGAAGCGCAAGUGACGGUACCUGCAGAAGAAGUACCGGCUAACUACGUGCCAGCAGCCGCGGUAAUACGUAGGGUACGAGCGUUGUCCGGAAUUAUUGGGCGUAAAGAGCUCGUAGGUGGUUGGUCACGUCUGCUGUGGAAACGCAACGCUUAACGUUGCGCGUGCAGUGGGUACGGGCUGACUAGAGUGCAGUAGGGGAGUCUGGAAUUCCUGGUGUAGCGGUGAAAUGCGCAGAUAUCAGGAGGAACACCGGUGGCGAAGGCGGGACUCUGGGCUGUAACUGACACUGAGGAGCGAAAGCAUGGGGAGCGAACAGGAUUAGAUACCCUGGUAGUCCAUGCCGUAAACGUUGGGCACUAGGUGUGGGGGGCAUUCCACGUUCUCCGCGCCGUAGCUAACGCAUUAAGUGCCCCGCCUGGGGAGUACGGUCGCAAGGCUAAAACUCAAAGGAAUUGACGGGGGCCCGCACAAGCGGCGGAGCAUGCGGAUUAAUUCGAUGCAACGCGAAGAACCUUACCAAGGCUUGACAUACACCGGGACCGUCCUGGAAACAGGUCCUCUUCUUUGAAGCUGGUGUACAGGUGGGUGCAUGGUUGUCGUCAGCUCGUGUCGUGAGAAGUUUGGGGUUAAGUCCCGCAACGAGCGCAAC
Molecule: ribosomal RNA, 1041 nt
Filed under: uncultured bacterium
Lineage: Bacteria
Description: bacterial SSU rRNA
Rfam family: Bacterial small subunit ribosomal RNA
Source: RNAcentral